UAUCAAUGCAGACAUGGAUAGCGACACGGCCAAGCACUUCUGAUAGCCCUCUCGAAAAAGCCGCUGUGAGGGCGUCCAUUUGAAAGGCACUGGACCCCACAUGUUCACAUCUCUUUAUCAUCUCCUCUAGGCCAGCAUCAUUAUCUAAUGGGCCCAGGUCCUCCCUCCGUCGGAUUCAAACGCCAGGCAGGCAUCUAGCCAUGCCUUGGGGUCCAUAUCUCCUUCUGCCACUGCCUUCUGGAACUGUCCUAGUCUGGUUGGGGUGUCCUCCAUGGCCCCACA
Molecule: long non-coding RNA, 282 nt
Organism: Vombatus ursinus (common wombat)
Lineage: Eukaryota; Metazoa; Chordata; Mammalia; Diprotodontia; Vombatidae
Exons: 3
Source: RefSeq, a predicted model, not a curated record